Molecule: ribosomal RNA, 374 nt
Filed under: uncultured bacterium
Lineage: Bacteria
Description: bacterial SSU rRNA
Rfam family: Bacterial small subunit ribosomal RNA
Source: RNAcentral
UAAUACAUAAGGAGCAAGCGUUGCUCGGAAUUACUGGGCGUGAAGGGUGUGUAGGUGGCUGAGCAAGUCACGGAUGAAAUCCCGAGGCUCAACCUCGGAAUUGCCCCUGAAACUGCUCAGCUUGAGGAUAGUGGAGGAAAACGGAAUUCCCGGUGGAGCGGUGAAAUGCGUAGAUAUCGGGAGGAACACCAGAGGCGAAGGCGGCUUUCUAUGCUAUUCCUGACACUGAGACACGAAAGCUAGGGGAGCAAACGGGAUUAGAUACCCCGGUAGUCCUAGCUGUAAACGAUGGGCACUAGAUGUUUCUGCUUUAAGCGGGAGUGUCGAAGUUAACGCGUUAAGUGCCCCGCCUGGGGAGUACGGUCGCAAGGCUG